Molecule: ribosomal RNA, 301 nt
Filed under: uncultured bacterium
Lineage: Bacteria
Description: partial 16S ribosomal RNA
Rfam family: Bacterial small subunit ribosomal RNA
Source: RNAcentral
CAGCAGCCACGGUAAUACGGAGGGUGCAAGCGUUAAUCGGAAUUACUGGGUGUAAAGCGCACGCAGGCGGUCUGACAAGUCAGAUGUGAAAUCCCCGGGCUUAACCUGGGAACUGCAUUUGAAACUGUCAGGCUGGAGUCUUGUAGAGGGGGGUGGAAUUCCAGGUGUAGCGGUGAAAUGCGUAGAGAUCUGGAGGAAUACCGGUGGCGAAGGCGGCCCCCUGGACAAAGACUGACGCUCAGGUGCGAAAGCGUGGGGAGCAAACAGGAUUAGAUACCCCAGUAGUCUCUGUCUCUUAUAC